GCACUCUAGUCCAGACGACCGUUCAUUGAAUAUCAUGUCUGCAAUUGAAAGCUGCCGUUGCGCUUUAUAGGAAAUUUUAAGGUAUUUAUAGUAUUUUAUAUCUAUCGAUUACUAUUCGUAGUACAUCAGAAAGUUUAUCUAACCAAUUGCGUAUUGAGAAAUUAUUUUGGAGGUUAAUCGACUACGUUACGGCCUUCCUAUACCCUUAGCCGAAUUUAGGUUCAAAAAAAAGGAAUUUCAUGUUCAAUCAAGGUCGAAGCUAUUCUAAGACUAUCUUUUAGCUGUCUAAACCUUUUAGGGCUGUUGUUUGUCACAUUAAGAUGCGCCGAUUGAUUAUAUAAUUGUAUAGUUUUUGUCCACGUGGUUUGGCAUAAGUGAAGAAAUCUCUGGCUCGGCGGUGAUUGGUCGAUAUAAUAUAUAUAACGAAGGCGCGCUUUCCAUAGAAUUAUUUUUGAAUAGACUUCAAUUUCACAUUUUCAGUGUUAAAUCGCCGACUCAGUUAAACCAAAGAUAAAAAAUUAACUAUGAAAACUUUCUGAAGUAACAAUAGAAUUCCUUUUUAUCUAAGAAUUUAUUGAAAAAAAGACAAGCAGCUGACAAACACAUAAUCUUUAUCGUUUCUUCAUACUUCAAAAGAUGGUAUCGAUAGAUUCUGAUCAAUUAUGGAUGGUGAUAGUAGGUUUUUUAAUUGCUUUCGCUCUGGCCUUUGGGAUUGGAGCUAACGAUGUUGCUAAUUCGUUCGGAACAUCAGUCGGAUCCGGCGUUAUUACUUUAAAGGUGGCGUGUAUAUUAGCAAGCAUUUUUGAAACACUCGGAGCAGUAUUAUUAGGGGCAAAAGUGUCUGAUACUAUUCGGAAGGGUAUAAUAGAAGUUACACCGUACCAAAAUGAUACGUCUCUAUUUAUGGUGGGAAACGUUGCUGCCUUAUCGGGUUCCUGCUUAUGGCUCUUAGCAGCGACUUUACUACGCAUGCCGGUUUCUGCUACACAUUCAAUAGUAGGAGCAACUAUAGGUUUCGCUCUCGUUGGUCAUGGUGCAAGUGGCAUAAACUGGAGUAAAUUAGGAUUAAUUAUUGGAUCGUGGUUUAUAUCACCAAUAGUUUCAGGAGCCGUCUCAACUGGAUUAUUCUUUUUCUGUAAACAUUUCAUCUUAAAUAAAGCGGAUCCAUUGGAACCUGGCCUAAAAUUCUUACCUGUAUUCUACGGGCUUACCAUUGUCAUCAAUUUCUUCUCUGUUUCUUACAACGGGCCUAAAAUUCUGGGAUUCGAUAAAAUACCAUUAUGGGGAGUUUUCAUAAUCAGUUUUGGUGGUGGAAUUAUCACGGCAAUACUAGUUUUAUUCGCAAUCGUACCAUGGCAACGAAGAAAGAUAAGAAAGCAAUGUGAUGAUCCGGAAUAUUGUCCUGGUUCACCGAUUGAGAAGAAAGACAAUUCAAUUAAAUUCGAAUUUGGACAAUUAGUUGACAACUCCACUGCAAAUUCAAAAAAUAAUUCUCCUCUGACUCAACAACGUGAAUUACAGCACAUUAAUCUUGCAAACUUUCAAACAACAAAGAUAGUUAAUGGAGUGAAUAAUAAGAAUAAUGAUCUGAAUAAAAAACCUGGACAUAACAAGGCGGAAAACGCUUUGCUUGUCGAUAAUGAAUAUAAUCCUGGUACUCAAACGCCAGCCGGUGUUAGUCGUUCGGAAACUCGUACAGAUCUGACGUAUAAUAUAGAACACAAGCCAAAUGGAGUAAAGCCUCCUUUGUCAUUAGAAGAUCCAGAAGCCAGCGGCCGAUCAGUUGUCAAAGAUCGACCCGAAACUGGUGAACUUUUCUCAUUUCUCCAAAUAUUGACAGCAAUUUUUGGUUCCUUUGCUCAUGGAGGCAACGAUGUCAGUAACGCUAUUGGACCGCUUGUUUCACUCUGGUUAGUAGGAACUCGGGGCGAAGUAUUCGAAAAAGCUGCAACUCCAGUUUGGAUUCUUUUCUACGGAGGCGUUGGCAUAUCAAUUGGUUUAUGGGUUUGGGGUCGUCGUGUCAUAAAAACUCUAGGCGAAGAUCUUACCAAAAUUACUCCAUCAAGUGGUUUCUGUAUUGAAAUUGGAUCUGCUUUAUCCGUCCUGAUAGCAUCCAAUAUCGGUAUUCCUAUCAGUACAACACACUGUAAAGUUGGUAGUGUCGUAUUCGUUGGAAGAUUUCGGUCAAAGCAGAAUGUCGACUGGAAGAUAUUUAGAAAUAUUAUUUUUGCAUGGUUGGUGACCUUACCCAUUUCCGGAGGAAUUUCAGCAGCUAUAAUGGCGGCCCUUAAGAUGACUUUAUAAUGUAUUUAUAGAAAUUUUAAAAAUAUUCUAUUUAAAUAAUUUGUUCAGACUAAAAUUUUUUUAUUAUGUUGUUUGCCCACAUUUUUCGCUCUAUGUUUUGUAAAGGAAGGGAAACACGUUGAAAUUGUUUUUUGCAGAUGAUCUUUGCUAUUUUUUUAUACCGUUGUCUUUCGUUCUUCGUACUAUUAUCUAUCCCCUCCCUUCUCACUUCGCUGCCUAGCAUUUAAUCGAGAGAAAUUGAUCUUAAAUUCCCCGUUAGGCCGACUAAGUAUGCUUUAAGCUAAAUGCGCAUAUGAAGCUACAUAAUAUUUGUAAAUGAACUUCUAAAGCGUGACGUCACUAAGUGCCGAAAAAGAGAAUAAAAAUUUAUAUAUAUAGAACGCUUUAAUUCCGAAGCUAAACUAAGAUUAUUGAUUGUGGAAAGAAAUUGAUAAGAAAAGACAAAAAUAUUGGCUAUUGAAUUAACUUAGUAUUCAAUCCUUCGACUGGGAAAGUACAGUCUUACUAUUGACUGCAUUUAUUAAAACAGAAGUAUAAUCUCUACCAUUUUCAUUUAUUUUUUCAACUGUAACAUAUGAAAUAUCGAUAUUUUUACAAUCGUUCUAUAUUAUUUCAAACUUUCUUCCGUUAAUAAUUCAUGAAAUUGAUUAUCUUCUACUUUUAUGACGUAGAAUAAGUGUUCUUUUACUAGAAUAAUUAUAGUGCGUAGAGAGGUUCCCAGAAUCAGCGUUAGAGAGGUUACCCAUCGUAAGCGACAUGUUAACUACGUAAAAUAUCUCAAUAUAAAAAGCCUCAUAUACCUCA
This 3108-nucleotide unclassified non-coding RNA is filed under the name Dimorphilus gyrociliatus. RNAcentral's name for it is "phosphate transporter". Lineage: Eukaryota; Metazoa; Annelida; Polychaeta; Dinophilidae. The record is from RNAcentral.